This 484-nucleotide ribosomal RNA is filed under the name uncultured bacterium. RNAcentral's name for it is "partial 16S ribosomal RNA". It matches the Rfam family "Bacterial small subunit ribosomal RNA", at positions 28 to 507 of the family's 1533-position model. The record is from RNAcentral.
GUUGAACGCUGGCGGCAGGCCUAACACAUGCAAGUCGAGCGGAUGAAGGGAGCUUGCUCCUGGAUUCAGCGGCGGACGGGUGAGUAAUGCCUAGGAAUCUGCCUGGUAGUGGGGGAUAACGUCCGGAAACGGGCGCUAAUACCGCAUACGUCCUGAGGGAGAAAGUGGGGGAUCUUCGGACCUCACGCUAUCAGAUGAGCCUAGGUCGGAUUAGCUAGUUGGUGGGGUAAAGGCCUACCAAGGCGACGAUCCGUAACUGGUCUGAGAGGAUGAUCAGUCACACUGGAACUGAGACACGGUCCAGACCCCUACGGGAGGCAGCAGUGGGGAAUAUUGGACAAUGGGCGAAAGCCUGAUCCAGCCAUGCCGCGUGUGUGAAGAAGGUCUUCGGAUUGUAAAGCACUUUAAGUUGGGAGGAAGGGCAGUAAGUUAAUACCUUGCUGUUUUGACGUUACCAACAGAAUAAGCACCGGCUAACUUCGUG